GGAAGAAUGGCAGAGCGGCUGAAUGCGGCUGUCUUGAAAACAGCUUACGGGCAACCGUACGGGGGUUCGAAUCCCUCUUCUUCCG
Molecule: transfer RNA, 85 nt
Filed under: Candidatus Aerophobota bacterium
Lineage: Bacteria; Candidatus Aerophobota
Description: Candidatus Aerophobetes bacterium tRNA-Ser
Rfam family: tRNA
About the family: Transfer RNA (tRNA) molecules are approximately 80 nucleotides in length. Their secondary structure includes four short double-helical elements and three loops (D, anti-codon, and T loops).
Source: RNAcentral